AACAUCAGCCAAUUCACAUUAAUAGAACACUUUCAUGUGAUCCGGGGAGAAAGGGGAUCCACACACCAGCCAGGAGUGAAGGAGUGCAGAAGGUUAUAUAAAUCAGGGACAGAGUGGUGCAUUUUCAUUUUCAGUCCAGAGGAAAAUUGGUUUGAGUCUUCCAGUCCUCCUGGGUUAGAUCCUCUUGAUCAAGAAAAGACAGUCUCUCCCUGGAUGAGCAUGAAGUGUGGAUGAGGAACCACAGGGGAAAUUCCAGCAAACAACAGUAAAGCAGCCUGAUGGCAGGAGUUUGUAGACCGAGACUUUGUGGAACAAAAGUCAGCAGACAACAUAUUGCUGCCCUAUGAAAUCCUGCCUUUUAUCAUGUCAGAUAUGGCACCAAAAAACACCAGUGGUGUUCACAGGAACUUGUUGAUCCCAUGGAUUUCCCACUAAUGAUAAAUACACUGUCUUCUGUUAUCAUCUGUGUUUCUGAGCACCCCUUUGUGGAGACAUCACUGGAACGGACAACCAGAAUUAAUAAUAACAAUCAGCUCGCCCAUAAACCAGUACUUCUUGUAACAUCACAUUUCAAAGGGUUUUUGUCACGUCUCCACCCUUCAGGAUGAUUAAAUGGGAAAUUAUUUCACCAUAACCUGAACAAGCACAUCAACAUUUGCCAGCAGGUACUUCUGACAGCUCUCAAGAAUAAUAUGAGAAAAUGAAAGACAAACACAAACACAUAAACAAGCCUGAAAACAAAAUGCAGAAUAGAUAUUGCCCUCAACACUAAUUCUCCCUUGAAAACAAACACAUGAGUGACUUCAAUGUACUGUUGCUGCAGUUUCACUGAACAAUUUCUGUAGUGCCAGGAGCACUGCUCAUGCCACAGGCCAAGAAACAGUAGAAGUGAAACAGGUUUUAACCAAAGUUCCUGUUCUCUGGGGCUGCUUUUGUGAAAUAUUUUGCUCAAUUUCUGACAGGCAGAGCCUGGCAGGAGCAGGGGGAGGCCGGGUGGAGGAGGUAUAACUUGUUUUCUUUCUCGCCUGGGGUGGAGGCAAGUUGGUUGCUGAGCAGGUUAUGAAGGUGGGUCCCCGGGAGAAAGCCUACAUUGCAUGAGUCUGAGGAGAAGGAGCAGGAAAAUAAGGUGAAAACUGGUGAGGUGAAGAUGGAAGGAAUGGUUUGAGGACGUGCUCUAGGAGCGUCAGUGAAUCCAAAGCGGCCAGAUUAAUCCUGGAAUGUAAGUGCAACAUUAAACAUCUCUUGCUUUCAGGAAAGCAGUUGUUUCACAGCACAAAAUAGGCUGGACAGACCACUUUGGUACUAGUGAGCAGUUUCUGAGAUAUGUAGCGUUAUAAUAAUUUUAAUAAUGACAUGUAAAUUGUAAAAGAUACCGUAGAAAGGUGAUGGAGAUUAUCUUUUUGUUAACCUAUGUUUAUUUAAUGAAUGGAUUUUUAGCAUGUUUUUAAUGUUUAUUUGAAAUUCUAUACGUAUGAUAAAGCACUUGUAGUUUGCAAUCUAAGUAAUGCUUGUGCAUUCAGAGAAUGAUUGAGAAAUAAUGUAUGUAAAAAGGAUUACAGUAACAUUGUAAUCUGAAAAGUUAUCUUAGUGCUCUGCAAUGUAAUUCACACAUUAUUAUCACUUGUUUCGUUACUGGAGAACAUAUAAUGUCUUUUUCCUAUUUAUGACAUUUCCUAUUUCCUAUUUAUGACUUUUAUCUUCAUUACUGAGCAGGUGGUAAUGUGAGAAUUGUGUGACAAUUGUGAAAUUUCAUGCUCCAGGGAAAGAAAAGAGUGAGUGGGCAGUAUGAUAUGAUGUGUUAGUGGAGAUUUGUGAUAGCUGGGACUUUUGCUGUGCUCUUGUAAUUUUCUACUUUGAUUCCUGUACAUUUAAAUAGAAAACUGUAAAUAAAGUAUUUUUUUCUUUCAAAUGAAUAUUACAAAUUGGGCCUCAAGAUGCUGUUUUUAACAAUCAGCAUUGCUGAGCUGGUGCAGAAAUAUUGAGAGUAUUUUAUGCACUGGAGAAAAUUUACUCUAAAAUAAAUAGAACAAUAUUAUACCAUGCAUGGGCUUGUCUAUUUAAGGACUUGAUAAGCAAAAUUUGCAUUUUGCCCAACUGAUAUACGAGACCCCACUCCAAUUAACUAAAAAACUCCAUGGGGACUUGGGAGAGUUCCAUUUAUCCCCCAGUUUAUGUUAUUAAUGCAAGUGGUCGUGAGGGGACAGUUUAGGGAGCUUUAAAUUUGGAGGUGUUUUCACACGAUGUCUGUGGGAACAGAAAAAGAUCUGGGAAGAGAAAAGAUCAGCAGGUCAGUGGCACAGAAAUGCCAGGAUAUCCACUCUUAGGGAAUUGUGCUGGCUGUUGAGGGAAGCACAUUGCUACAGCCAAGUUAUUCUUUCCCUCCUGUGCACUUAAACCUUAGUCAGCAGCUCUAACAGUGCAAGAAUGUUUUAUUAUAUCAGUGCAUACUUAAGACAUUAUAAUCUUAAUCUGUUGUCUUGGAACAUUUCCCUGAGCUGAGCCUGGCAAGAUUUAUGUGUGCACACUGCUUCAGGACGGAGUACUUCAUACUUGGGGAGCAGGGAUUCUGAAAAUGUUACAUGCAGCCUUUCAUGCAGCUCAGAACUGUUUCAAGACAGCAGAGGAUUUGGCAGUAAUCUCAGCAGAUAAAACCUCAUGUUGCUAAUUAAUCACCAAAAGUGCAGUCGUGGCCCCGGUGAUUCCAACAGGAGCAAGUUCAAGCUCCACUAUAUCCCCUGAAGACACUCCGGUUUAAACAGAGCAGAGCUUAACAGCACAACACCGAACUUCUCUCUCUCUCCAAGACUCCUGUGAAGAAGAACAACGUUCCAAGUUUUUAAAAGUGUGCUGUAGUAAUAGGGAACAACAUUCCUUAAAAUCUUCUAUGGUUUCCUUGGGAUUCAAAGUGCAACCUCUCUUUUACAGCCUGACUUCAACGGUGUUUUUCUUGACAUAUGCUGCAGACCAAUCCCAAGUUCUUUGGAAAAUAAAAUUCAAGAGACUGUGUAAUUUUCACCUUUUCAAUUAUACAAUAAAUACACUGAAUUUAAAUGCAUGAACCCCAAAAUAAAAUGUCUAGAACAAGA
This is a long non-coding RNA of Pseudopipra pipra, 3086 nucleotides long. RefSeq lists it as uncharacterized. Lineage: Eukaryota; Metazoa; Chordata; Aves; Passeriformes; Pipridae. The transcript is spliced from 3 exons. The record is from RefSeq and is a predicted model, not a curated record.